GGGAGAUUCAGAGCGACCGCCGAAAUCCCGGAGCGAGCACUCGGAUCGCACGAAGCCACCUCUGCCAGUGAAACACGAGAAUGCUCCGUGAGAGGUGCCCCGGAAGUUGAUUAUGCAUACGUCACGCAAACCGGUUCCGGAAACAGUUUAUUUUUCCGCUCUCUUCGUUUCCUUGGCAACUUUGGCCGCCACUGCAGGGCGCGCAUUUCGACCACGCAGUUAAAGCUUUGUAGAACACUUUAACGCAGUCGCGAACAGCAGUUGUGUAGCAAGUAUGGACGAGCACGCGGAAUUGACACCGGCUGUGCGUCGGCUGUUGCUGGGCGUUUUCAGAAACAGCGGCAACGAUCUGAACGGUAAGUGCGACGUACUUGACGCUGAUAAUAAACUCUGCACGGAAUGCUAACUUUGAUAGCUCCGCAUGAAGACUGGUCAGAUAAUUGUAAAGCAUGCGGGUACACGUGGUAACGGCCGCAAUCGGCGCUCGCAAAAAUACGGCAUGUUGUGAGCAGGCUUUUUUUUUAAUCAGAGCAGUUGCUUACCCAACACCUUACAGUCCUACUAUUUAGAAUAUCACAAGCGCCGGAAUUUUCGCAGCGCUCACCAAGCUGCUGUAUUACCUUUAAUAAAAAUGCAUGGCGAUCUCUGUAUUCGCGCAUGAAUACAUGCAUGAAAAAUUUACUAGAGAAGUAACGUUUUCUUGGUGAUUCUUGACCUCUACUCUUUUGGUGUUAACCCGCAAAUGUCUUUUCUUUUUCUCUAUUUGAAGGUGCUACACAGUGUGACGCCACCGACGCUUUGUCACAUACACAGGGCGCAUUUUUAGGAAAUGAUUCUGCAGCGUCUACUGGUGCGUCACCAAGUCGGGCUUGUCAGCCAGGGACUCCUGCACGUGCUGCAGGGUGUGAGUGGACGAGUGGCGAGACGAAGCUGCUGCUGGACCUCUACGCCUCAUAUUUCCCUCAAGUUGGCCCUCUGAAAAAAUUUCGC
Molecule: long non-coding RNA, 990 nt
Organism: Rhipicephalus microplus (southern cattle tick)
Lineage: Eukaryota; Metazoa; Arthropoda; Arachnida; Ixodida; Ixodidae
Source: RefSeq, a predicted model, not a curated record